AUUGAACGCCGGCGGCAUGCUUUACACAUGCAAGUCGAACGGCAGCAUAGGUGCUUGCACCUGAUGGCGAGUGGCGAACGGGUGAGUAAUAUAUCGGAACAUGUCCGGAAGUGGGGGAUAACGUAGCGAAAGUUACGCUAAUACCGCAUAUGCCCUGAGGGGGAAAGGGGGGGAUCGCAAGACCUCUCGCUUUCGGAGUGGCCGAUAUCGGAUUAGCUAGUAGGUGAGGUAAAGGCUCACCUAGGCGACGAUCCGUAGCUGGUCUGAGAGGACGACCAGCCACACUGGGACUGAGACACGGCCCAGACUCCUACGGGAGGCAGCGGUGGGGAAUUUUGGACAAUGGGCGCAAGCCUGAUCCAGCCAUGCCGCGUGAGUGAAGAAGGCCUUCGGGUUGUAAAGCUCUUUCAGCCGGAAAGAAAUCGUACUUAUUAAUACUAAGUGCGGAUGACGGUACCGGAAGAAGAAGCACCGGCUAACUACGUGCCAGCCGCCGCUGUAA
This 502-nucleotide ribosomal RNA is filed under the name uncultured bacterium. RNAcentral's name for it is "partial 16S ribosomal RNA". It matches the Rfam family "Bacterial small subunit ribosomal RNA", at positions 30 to 523 of the family's 1533-position model. The record is from RNAcentral.